GGGCCCGCACAAGCGGUGGAGUAUGUGGUUUAAUUCGAUGCAACGCGAAGAACCUUACCAGGGCUUAAAUGCAGAGUGACAGGACUGGAAACAGUUUUUUCUUCGGACACUCUACAAGGUGCUGCAUGGUUGUCGUCAGCUCGUGCUGUGAAGUGUCGGGUUAAGUCCCAUAACGAGCGCAACCCCUAUCUUCAGUUGCCAGCGGGUAAUGCCGGGGACUCUGGAGAAACUGCCAGCGCAAGCUGUGAGGAAGGUGGGGAUGACGUCAAAUCAUCACGGCCCUUACGUCCUGGGCUACACACGUGCUACAAUGGUAAGUACAGAGGGCAGCCACCUGGUGACAGGGAGCGAAUCCUAAAACCCUAUCUCAGUUCGGAUCGAAGUCUGCAACUCGACUUCGUGAAGCUGGAAUCGCUAGUAAUCGCGCAU
This 429-nucleotide ribosomal RNA is filed under the name uncultured bacterium. Its description in RNAcentral is "bacterial SSU rRNA". It matches the Rfam family "Bacterial small subunit ribosomal RNA", at positions 917 to 1349 of the family's 1533-position model. The record is from RNAcentral.